AGAUGCUGCCAGGGUCCCUGAAGAGGGAAGACACGCGGAAACAGGCUUGCACCCAGACACGACACCAUGCAUCUCCUCGGCCCCUGGCUCCUGCUCCUGGGUAAGGACUGUGGCCUGGGCUAGUACUGGGGUUCUGGGAUGUCAGUGGGCACUGGAGGAGGAGGAAAGACCCAGGCAGAGAGGCGUCAACAUAGGGUAGGGUGGGGGCAGCGGUGUGUAUAGAUAAAUGUACAUACAAAUAUAUGUUUCCCAUAUAUACAUACACUUCUCUCAUUGCAUCCUGCUGUCUUUGUGUAUCUCUGUAUUUCUCCCACUAUCUUCAGAGGGAAUUCUUUAGUCUUUAGAAAGCUCUCUGCUGGGUGCAGUGGCUCAUGCCUGAAAUCUCAGCACUUUGUGAGGCUGAGGUGGGAGGAUCACUUGAGGUCAGGAGUUCAAGGCCAGCUUGGACAACAUAGCAAGACCCCUAUAUCUAAAAAGAAUAAAAAAUUAAACAAAUUUUAAAAUAAAGAAUAAUUUUUAAAAGAAGGCUCUCAUGCCCCCUUAGUAAUGCUUUCUGAUCACUGUGGUGAGUUCUAGAAUACUUGGCUUUCUCUGACUCAAGUAAAUGGGCUUUUGAGCACCCUGAAACCCUCUACGCCUGGGAGGGGGCCUGCGUCUGGAUCCCCUGCACCUACAGAGCCCUAGAUCGUGACCUGGAAAGCUUCAUCCUGUUCCACAAUCCUGAGUAUAACAAGAACACCUCGAAGUUUGAUGGGACAAGACUCUAUGAAAGCACAAAGGAUGGGAAGGUUCCUUCUGAGCAGAAAAGGGUGCAAUUCCUGGGAGACAAGAAUAAGAACUGCACACUGAGUAUCCACCCGGUGCACGUCAAUGACAGUGGUCAGCUGGGGCUGAGGAUGGAGUCCAAGACUGCGAAAUGGAUGGAACGAAUACACCUCAAUGUCUCUGAAAGGCCUUUUCCACCUCAUAUCCAGCUCCCUCCAGAAAUUCAAGAGUCCCAGGAAGUCACUCUGACCUGCUUGCUGAAUUUCUCCUGCUAUGGGUAUCCGAUCCAAUUGC
Molecule: small RNA, 1059 nt
Filed under: Pan troglodytes (chimpanzee)
Lineage: Eukaryota; Metazoa; Chordata; Mammalia; Primates; Hominidae
Description: retained intron
Source: RNAcentral